AAGCGUUACCCGGAAUCACUGGGUGUAAAGGGUUCGUAGGCGGAUAAAUAAGUCAGGUAUGAAAGACUGGAGCUCAACUCCAUGUUUGUGCUUGAAACUGUAUAUCUAGAAUCAGGGGAGAGGUAAGCGGAAUUCUAAGUGUAGGGGUGCAAUCCGUAGAUACUUAGAGGAACACCAAAAGCGAAGGCAGCUUACUGGAACUGUAUUGACGCUCAUGAACGAAAGCGUGGGUAGCGAAAAGGAUUAGAUACCCUGGUAGUCCACACCGUAAACGCUGUCUACUAGCUGUUUGUGAAUUUAAUUCGUGAGUAGCGAAGCUAACGCGAUAAGUAGACCGCCUGGGGAGUACGGCCGCAAGGUUAAAACUCAAAUGAAUUGACGGGGGCCCGCACAAGCGGUGGAGCAUGUGGUUUAAUUCGACGCAACGCGAAGAACCUUACCAGGUCUUGACAUCCAGAGAACUUUCCAGAGAUGGAUUGGUGCCUUCGGGAACUCUGUGACAGGUGCUGCAUGGCU
Molecule: ribosomal RNA, 516 nt
Filed under: uncultured Gammaproteobacteria bacterium
Lineage: Bacteria; Pseudomonadati; Pseudomonadota; Gammaproteobacteria
Description: bacterial SSU rRNA
Rfam family: Bacterial small subunit ribosomal RNA
Source: RNAcentral